Molecule: ribosomal RNA, 265 nt
Filed under: uncultured bacterium
Lineage: Bacteria
Description: partial 16S ribosomal RNA
Rfam family: Bacterial small subunit ribosomal RNA
Source: RNAcentral
CGGGUGGCGAACGGGUGAGUAACGCGUGAGGAACCUGCCUCAAAGAGGGGGACAACAGUUGGAAACGACUGCUAAUACCGCAUAAGCCCACGGGUCGGCAUCGACCAGAGGGAAAAGGAGCAAUCCGCUUUGAGAUGGCCUCGCGUCCGAUUAGCUAGUUGGUGAGGUAAUGGCCCACCAAGGCAACGAUCGGUAGCCGGACUGAGAGGUUGAACGGCCACAUUGGGACUGAGACACGGCCCAGACUCCUACGGGAGGCAGCAUG